UUUGUACUGCACAAAAGCUCUG
This 22-nucleotide microRNA is filed under the name Caenorhabditis remanei. RNAcentral's name for it is "crm-miR-239b". Its record names the gene crm-miR-239b. The record is from miRBase by way of RNAcentral. Lineage: Eukaryota; Metazoa; Nematoda; Chromadorea; Rhabditida; Rhabditidae.